This 230-nucleotide ribosomal RNA is filed under the name uncultured microorganism. Its description in RNAcentral is "partial 16S ribosomal RNA". It matches the Rfam family "Bacterial small subunit ribosomal RNA", at positions 524 to 754 of the family's 1533-position model. The record is from RNAcentral.
UACGUAGGUCCCGAGCGUUGUCCGGAUUUAUUGGGCGUAAAGCGAGCGCAGGCGGUUAGAUAAGUCUGAAGUUAAAGGCUGUGGCUUAACCAUAGUACGCUUUGGAAACUGUUUAACUUGAGUGCAAGAGGGGAGAGUGGAAUUCCAUGUGUAGCGGUGAAAUGCGUAGAUAUAUGGAGGAACACCGGUGGCGAAAGCGGCUCUCUGGCUUGUAACUGACGCUGAGGCUC